This 201-nucleotide ribosomal RNA is filed under the name Escherichia coli. Its description in RNAcentral is "partial 16S ribosomal RNA". It matches the Rfam family "Bacterial small subunit ribosomal RNA", at positions 131 to 334 of the family's 1533-position model. Lineage: Bacteria; Pseudomonadati; Pseudomonadota; Gammaproteobacteria; Enterobacterales; Enterobacteriaceae. The record is from RNAcentral.
UGAUGGAGGGGGAUAACUACUGGAAACGGUAGCUAAUACCGCAUAACGUCGCAAGACCAAAGAGGGGGACCUUCGGGCCUCUUGCCAUCGGAUGUGCCCAGAUGGGAUUAGCUAGUAGGUGGGGUAACGGCUCACCUAGGCGACGAUCCCUAGCUGGUCUGAGAGGAUGACCAGCCACACUGGAACUGAGACACGGUCCAG